GACGAACGCUGGCGGCGUGCUUAACACAUGCAAGUCGAACGGAAAGGCCCUGCUUUUGUGGGGUGCUCGAGUGGCGAACGGGUGAGUAACACGUGAGUAACCUGCCCUUGACUUUGGGAUAACUUCAGGAAACUGGGGCUAAUACCGGAUAGGAGCUCCUGCUGCAUGGUGGGGGUUGGAAAGUUUCGGCGGUUGGGGAUGGACUCGCGGCUUAUCAGCUUGUUGGUGGGGUAGUGGCUUACCAAGGCUUUGACGGGUAGCCGGCCUGAGAGGGUGACCGGCCACAUUGGGACUGAGAUACGGCACAGCCUCCUACGGGAGGCAGCAGUGGGGAAUAGUGCACUAUGGGCGGAAGCAUGAUGCAGCAACGCCGCGUGCGGGAUGACGGCCUUCGGGUUGUAAACCGCUUUCGCCUGUGACGAAGCGUGAGUGACGGUAAUGGGUAAAGAAGCACCGGCUAACUACGUG
RNAcentral lists this ribosomal RNA (468 nucleotides) under uncultured bacterium. RNAcentral's name for it is "partial 16S ribosomal RNA". It matches the Rfam family "Bacterial small subunit ribosomal RNA", at positions 28 to 507 of the family's 1533-position model. The record is from RNAcentral.